Molecule: ribosomal RNA, 771 nt
Filed under: Cryptosporidium sp. 2040
Lineage: Eukaryota; Apicomplexa; Conoidasida; Eucoccidiorida; Cryptosporidiidae
Description: SSU rRNA
Rfam family: Eukaryotic small subunit ribosomal RNA
Source: RNAcentral
CAAUAUUUUUGGUGACUCAUAAUAACUUUACGGAUCACAUUAUGUGACAUAUCAUUCAAGUUUCUGACCUAUCAGCUUUAGACGGUAGGGUAUUGGCCUACCGUGGCUAUGACGGGUAACGGGGAAUUAGGGUUCGAUUCCGGAGAGGGAGCCUGAGAAACGGCUACCACAUCUAAGGAAGGCAGCAGGCGCGCAAAUUACCCAAUCCUAAUACAGGGAGGUAGUGACAAGAAAUAACAAUACAGGACCUUACGGUUUUGUAAUUGGAAUGAGUUAAGUAUAAACCCCUUAACAAGUAUCAAUUGGAGGGCAAGUCUGGUGCCAGCAGCCGCGGUAAUUCCAGCUCCAAUAGCGUAUAUUAAAGUUGUUGCAGUUAAAAAGCUCGUAGUUAAUUUUCUGUUAAUUUUUAUAUACAAUACUACGGUAUUUAUAUAAUAUUAACAUAAUUCAUAUUACUUUUUAGUAUAUGAAACUUUACUUUGAGAAAAUUAGAGUGCUUAAAGCAGGCUAUUGCCUUGAAUACUCCAGCAUGGAAUAAUAUUAAGGAUUUUUAUUCUUCUUAUUGGUUCUAGAAUAAAAAUAAUGAUUAAUAGGGACAGUUGGGGGCAUUUGUAUUUAACAGUCAGAGGUGAAAUUCUUAGAUUUGUUAAAGACAAACUACUGCGAAAGCAUUUGCCAAGGAUGUUUUCAUUAAUCAAGAACGAAAGUUAGGGGAUCGAAGACGAUCAGAUACCGUCGUAGUCUUAACCAUAAACUAUGCCAACUAGAGAU